This 434-nucleotide ribosomal RNA is filed under the name Dichotella sp. KE-2021. RNAcentral's name for it is "partial large subunit ribosomal RNA". The record is from RNAcentral. Lineage: Eukaryota; Metazoa; Cnidaria; Anthozoa; Scleralcyonacea; Ellisellidae.
AAACCGUUGAAAGGGAAGCGAAUGGAGUUAGCAAUUCGCCCUGCCAGAUUCAGUCUUACGCGUUCCGCGACGGGCGCGCACUCGAUCUACGUAGACGAGUCGUGUUCGGACGCGGCACGGGAGAGGCGCAUUUAUGGCGGGCGAGCGUCAACGUCGGUCUUCGUCGGGCUAAAAGGCCGUGAGGGAGGUGAACGGCCUUCGGGCCGUUGUUAUAACCUCGCGAGCGUAUGGCUCGACGAAGACCGUGRAGUCGCGACGCGCGCUUCCCUCCGGGGGGGCUGGUGUCCUGUUCUGUUGGUCCGGUUGUCGACCGUGGCGGACGGCACGCCUGUGCUCUCGAACUGCUGCCGGUCAACAGGGCGGUGAUCACACACUACGCGUCGAGGACGUUGACGACCAUACGGCUCUAUCCGACCCGUCUUGAAACACGGACC